RNAcentral lists this ribosomal RNA (460 nucleotides) under uncultured bacterium. Its description in RNAcentral is "partial 16S ribosomal RNA". It matches the Rfam family "Bacterial small subunit ribosomal RNA", at positions 338 to 795 of the family's 1533-position model. The record is from RNAcentral.
CCUACGGGAGGCAGCAGUGAGGAAUAUUGGUCAAUGGGCGCGAGCCUGAACCAGCCAAGUCGCGUGAGGGAUGAAGGACCUAUGGUUUGUAAACCUCUUUUAUAAGGGAAUAAAGUGCGGCACGUGUGCCGUUUUGUAUGUACCUUAUGAAUAAGGAUCGGCUAACUCCGUGCCAGCAGCCGCGGUAAUACGGAGGAUCCGAGCGUUAUCCGGAUUUAUUGGGUUUAAAGGGUGCGUAGGCGGCUAUUUAAGUCAGCGGUGAAAGUCUGUGGCUCAACCAUAGAAUUGCCGUUGAAACUGGUUGUCUUGAGUGUGUUUGAGGUAGGCGGAAUGCGUGGUGUAGCGGUGAAAUGCAUAGAUAUCACGAAGAACUCCGAUUGCGAAGGCAGCUUGCCAAGCCACGACUGACGCUGAUGCACGAAAGUGUGGGGAUCGAACAGGAUUAGAUACCCGGGUAGUC